ACGGACCACGACAAAGGCCCCUCGCACCAAAAAAACGGACGAAGCGAAGGAGCGACGAUCCCUCGAUCUAUUCGCGACGCGAACAACGACGCCGCCGCCAUCGCGGAUCCCAGGCGCUAGCCGCGGAUCCCGUUGCCGGUGUCGAGGGGUCGUGGAGGCGCCGCCGCCGAGGUCCUAAAGGAGGCGCCGCCGUCGAGGUCCUAAAGGAGGCGCCGCUGCCAUCGUUGUGGACCUCCGGGUCGCCAUCGGGACACCUCUGCUGAGGUACGCCUUCGCCUUCGCACGGUGAUGGGCAUGGUGGCGGAAGAAGGUCGUCUUCCCAGAGCACCGCACGCUGGCCGCCGUCUCCAUCCGCGGCCGCACCAACAAGACAGCAAGAAUCAUACCCCACCCACGCGGCGGCACGACGCAGAAGGGCUACAUGGGUCUAUAGCGGCGCGCGCAAUGGAAGGACACCUAUGGGAACAAGCUCACCGAGGUCUUGGAAUUCCAACCUAGAUAAACAAGUGAACUCAUUUUAACAGUUUCCCUUUUUUUGUGAUGCAGGCUAGCUCAUUCAUUAAGGGCUACUCAGCUCUGUUUUUUCCCUCCCUUUGGAGAUUGGAUUAUAUGGUACUCUGUGUUGAAGGAUCUGUUCAUGCCAAAUUUAAUAAAUCUUGUCAUGUUUUCAUAGGUUGCCUAUUUUCUCACUCUGCAUGGAAUGGUGAACGUUUGUAGCAUGGUCACUUGGUCAGGUUUUGAUUAUUUUUGUCACUGCACAUACCUUCAGAAAAUAACCCAAUGAGGCUAGCUUGUUCUUUCUACUUAUACACCUACGCAUGGGAUGCUCUGUUAGUUUUGUUGUGCAAAUAAUCAUUAUUCCUGUUGAUGAGCAAUGAUAAUGGCUCCCAAAACUACAACAUUUGCUGCUUCAGUGUAUGUGUACCGAAUCGUAAAAGAAUAUGAUUAUAUCUUUUGCUUUGUAGUGCACCUGUUCACGAGAAUGAUGCUGAGAAGGCAAUAGGUCCUGCUUGCUAGCUUUGUCAUGGACACGCUUCAAAACUGUCUCUGUCCAUGGGGUUAUUGAUUACUGCUUGUGAUGUUUAAGAGUGAUGCACAGGAACAGGAUUAUUUUUAUGUGAAGGUGGAUAGAAAUAACUUUACUUGAGAAGGAGCUUUCCAUUGCAUCUGAUUUGUACUCUCAGUAUCAGACUUCAUUCCUGUGAAGUAACAUUUGGGCAAAAUGGGCAACAUGUGUUUGGUCAUUGCCGUGCUUUGGUUUUUAGGCUCGUGCUAUGAUAACUUGAUGACACCCCUUUAUAGACAUUAUAGUAUAGAGCAUUCUCAUGCAUUAAGUCCAGUGCAAGGAAAAUUGAUAAAGUCUGCUAACUGGAACAGGAUAGUUGAUCCUUUCAAUGGAGAGUACAAAUUUAUUGCAAUAAUCUAUAUAUGCCGAACCUGUACACCUUGCAAUAGGUAGAGAUGGCUAAAUUUUGUAGCUUUUUGUUCCCUUUUUUCCCAUCAAAAUUAUGGAUUUGGAAGCUAUUCAUGGAGUGUUUCAGUUGCCUGCUAUAUUAUGGAUUUGCAAUGAGCACAAGCCUGCAACCUUGAAGGAAAAGUUGUUGCUGCUGAAGACAUGACACUGUGGGUGAGAUCUUUUAUUAUGUUAGUACAGAGUACAGACUGAUAUUAUGUCGCAGCAACAAUGUAUAGAGCUUCAGAGCUCAUUCUUCUCUUCACAUAAGGUUCGGUUUAGAGUUCAUGCUUUGUGCUUAUUAAAAAACAAAGAAAAGGAAUGAGUUGCUUGAUAUAUUGGCAUGUAUAUAGUGUAAAAAAACAUGCUUACAGUUCUAACAUGAAUUUUACUGAACUGAGAGUUGUGAUAUGCAAAUGUUUUAUGGUCGAAGGUUCUGUACCAUCGGUUAUAUUGUAUAAAAAUGGUCUCUGCUUUCAUCUUCUUUGAUGACAUAUUUUCUUGUAAAAAUUGGAAUGCAUUAUGCACCUGUUCUUUUCAAGGUGGUUCCAUUUUUUGUCAAUUUAUAAACUUUUUAUGAAUAGUAAUAUAGACGCAUGUUCUUAAUCUAUUUUGGAUUUUUGUUCACCCCGAAAUGCAGUGUAGAUCUGCCAUUGACAUUUUUUUGGAGCACUGGUUGAACAUUUGCUGAGAUGUUGAUAGGAAAAGCCUUUGUUUCCUCAUAAAAUGUUGCCCAUUAGUUAAACUUAUUGGAUACAUGCAGUGGGCAUGAUGACCAUGUACAACUUUUUUCAGUUAGAAUUGUGUCUGCUAUUGAUCUAUCUAACUUAAUACAAAGAACUCUGCAUGUUUUGGAAACAAGAGGUAAUGCAAACAUUUAAUUCUGUUGUGAACUUCUGAUUCAGCCUUGGGGCAUGGACGGCGAGAAGUGUAGGCAUGUGCCUAGCGUACCGGACCAUGAUGGAUUGAUGAGCUGAUGUCAUGUGGCGGCUGGUUAACCGGCGGCGGUUGGAGCCAUCAUCCACCACGAGUUCGCGCUAGGAGCACAUGGGCAAAGGAGAGGAUAUGUUGGUGCUGUUGGAAUAAGGUUUAUUGGGUCGUCCUCCUCCAGCAACAUAUUACACAAUGUACUUAAGCCGAUUUAUUCUCUUUGGUAAAAAUGGCCCUCAUUUGCUUGAUAAAACUUUACUUUCGUAAAACUAAUUGAGUUAGGAACCAUAACAUAUACUACUACAUCUAUGUCUGGUAUCUAUCUGAUUAUAUUAAACUGACAGUUUAUUCUUCUUGCUGGAAGGGGUGUCGUGAAAGAUGAUCUGGAUGCUAUUAAAGUUUUAUAUAUGUUGCUGUCCAUGUGAGUCAUUUCUAUGAACUAUGCUACUAAUCGUCACAUAAGGUCAUAUGCUAACUCUUGACCUAUGUACACUUAAAGGUCCUCUCACCUUGGAUCAUAUCAAUCUGCUAUCAAUGGCUGAGACUGAGCUUUGAUUUCUCACCACGUGCUUAAAUCUAUAUUUUUUAAACACCUCAAUCUUCCUUGAAUUUUCUGAUACACCAAGCAGCAUCGCAAGUUAAUUGAAGUAAUUGGUCUUGAAAACAUGUAUUCUUUCCUGUCCACGAAAUGUAAUGCUUUGGGGGAACCUUCAAUCAAACUUAAAAAUAAAUUAGUACUGAUGUUGUUUUUCAUAAAUCAUGAACCAAUAGAUGUACUUGUUAGGAUAACAUGGAAGCUGACUUAGCUGACAGGUUGGAUGGAUACUCAUUAUGGGCAUUUCAAAUGAUGCCAUUGUUUGAAAAAAAAAGAAUGAGUUCAUCAUUUGCUUCAAAUUUUUUGCUUUGUUUUUAUAUAUUGCAUUUGAGGAGACCACACGCUCUUGAAACUUGACACUAUAUAUUCAUUACUAUAUGCAACAAGUUAUAUUCGUUAUAUUUCUCUCUAUGGGGCAUACUAGACUUAUUUGCAGUGACAGAGGCAGGGGCGAGCUGGGGCCCGGGCUAGCAUUUUUCACAGCAACAUUACUGGAGCUACCAAAUAUGAUGUUCUGGAGAAAAUUUAUUUUGAUGAUUGUGGAAAAGUUUGGAGACUGGCGUGUGAUAUUACUGAUAAAGCAAAGACACACAUAAUCUGGAAACAUACACCAUGGAUGAUGCGCUUGCGGCCAUGGGGCAGUGGAAUCCAAGCACUUGUUAAUGCAUGAAGACAAGGGUUGGGUUGUACUCCCUCCGUUCCAAAAUAUAAGUCUUUUAAGAGAUUCCAAUAAGGGGCUACAUACGGAGCAAAAUGAGUGAAUUUACAUUCUAAAAUAUGUCUAUAUACAUCCGUAUGUAGUCUUUUAGUGAAAUCUUAGAAAGACUUAUAUUUAGGAACGGAGGGAGUAGAAACCAUGGAGCUCAGUCAACUAUCAAUCCAUGUGAUGAUGUAUCUUUUACUCUACUAUCAAUACAUGUGAUGAUGUAUCUUUUACCUCCCA
Molecule: long non-coding RNA, 3921 nt
Organism: Triticum aestivum (bread wheat)
Lineage: Eukaryota; Viridiplantae; Streptophyta; Magnoliopsida; Poales; Poaceae
Exons: 2
Source: RefSeq, a predicted model, not a curated record